UGGGGAAUCUUGCGCAAUGGGCGAAAGCCUGACGCAGCCAUGCCGCGUGAAUGAUGAAGGUCUUAGGAUUGUAAAAUUCUUUCACCGGGGACGAUAAUGACGGUACCCGGAGAAGAAGCCCCGGCUAACUUCGUGCCAGCAGCCGCGGUAAUACGAAGGGGGCUAGCGUUGCUCGGAAUUACUGGGCGUAAAGGGCGCGUAGGCGGACAUUUAAGUCAGGGGUGAAAUCCCAGAGCUCAACUCUGGAACUGCCUUUGAUACUGGGUGUCUUGAGUGUGAGAGAGGUAUGUGGAACUCCGAGUGUAGAGGUGAAAUUCGUAGAUAUUCGGAAGAACACCAGUGGCGAAGGCGACAUACUGGCUCAUUACUGACGCUGAGGCGCGAAAGCGUGGGGAGCAAACAGGAUUAGAUACCCACGUAGUCCCUGAGCGGGCUGGCAAGGCGCAU
Molecule: ribosomal RNA, 447 nt
Filed under: uncultured bacterium
Lineage: Bacteria
Description: bacterial SSU rRNA
Rfam family: Bacterial small subunit ribosomal RNA
Source: RNAcentral